RNAcentral lists this long non-coding RNA (2788 nucleotides) under Marmota monax (woodchuck). The record is from RNAcentral. Lineage: Eukaryota; Metazoa; Chordata; Mammalia; Rodentia; Sciuridae.
CAGAUGCGGUGGUGCAAAGGAAAGGAGAUCGAGAAAGAAGCUGAGAAACAGUACCGGCCUUCUUCCUGGACAAAUCAGGGUUUUGUAUGUGUGUAUAAUCAGCGUUUUUUGUUUUAUUCCGGCCGCUCAGCUCAUUGAUCCCAGGGGCGCUAACCGCCGAGCCACAUCCCCAGCCCUCCUUAUUUAUAAGGCCUCUGGAUCCCUCAGCUGUGCCCCCGGGCCCCGCUGAUCAGUGUUUCUCUACAUCCACCUGCUUUAUGUCUUACGCUAGGCACAGCAAAAACGAGUAGGAGAAGAUUUCAAUGGGUGAAGAGAGGAAGAGUUAUUGAUUAAAAUGACACCGCAGUUUUCUGUUUUCUCCUUGCAUGCACGUGGGCACGUGGAGGAGGUUAUACCUUCUACAGCAGAGCCGAAGGAAAGUACUAAAGCCCAGUCCACCUAUCUCAGUACUUCCAGAAUUCAAGUCUUAGCUCCACCACAUUAUGUAGUUUUACCGUUUCCAGAGGCAAUGCUGCCAGUGAUUUCUUGGUAAGUUUUUCCAUAAAAAUAUCUUCAUUCACCCAUGGCUCCUUGUUUGUGCCGCAUUAUGUCUCCAUAUAUUUCUGUUUCUCACUCUGCCAGUGUAGUAUGCCCUGAGGUUAAACUUCAGGUAGACUGUGAAUGGUGUCAUUGUAAGGGGUCCUUGGAACAAACUUUGUCACCUUGCACUCAGGACUUUUAUUUGAAUAAACAAACCAAAAAUAAGUCCUCACUUUAUUUAGGUCAUAAAAUAGACCCCUAAAGUAAUUAAAUCUCCCAGGACUUAGCUGUUAUCUUGGCUGAUUGCUGAGAGCCACAGCCGAGUCUGUAUGGCCCCUGGCAUUUUGCCAACAGUAUUGAUUGACAGGCGAGGCAUUACUAUCGGCCUCUGCCGCAACUUUUGAGUUCUCGCACUAUUUUGGAGUUCUCCUGGGGAUUUCCGGGGAUUCCCCGAGAGUUCCCAUUGGUUGGGGAAGUGCAGGAGGAGGGAUUUCCGGGAGAGAUAUUUCCGCUGGGGGUUCCUGGACAAGCCUCUUGGAGUUGGGGAGGAUUCCCCGGGAGCUGUGUGUAGUGUUUUCCUGCAGUUUAAAAAUAAAGUUUGUUCCUGCUUCAGUGGCUCUGAUUUGUGCCCAGCCAGACUGUGGCAGCUGAUGGAAGUUUAUAUCACAACCAUUUUAAUUUAAGCUGUGUGGAAGGGAUGGCUGGGUUGUUUGUGUUCUGUCCAGCACUCAGUGUUCAGUGUUCUCAGUAAUAACCACCUCCCCCCACUCAGUGUCCAGUGUUCUCAGUAAUAACCACCUCCUCCUCUCGUUAUUGCCAUAUGCUCAUGCCUCUUACACAGGGGAGGCCAAGGGGCUGAAUUUGACCCAAUGGUUUGAGGGUGGCAGUUGUGCUUCUUUGAGAGAUCCUUAAAAGAGGAGGUUGAAACAGCUAGGAGACUCUUACAUCCCUCCUCCUUCCUCCUGUCUGGAAUGUGGACUUUGGAGCUGGAAGUACAGCAGCCACAUGUGGAGGCACUAGAGAAUAAUAACAGGACACUAGGGUGUGAAUGACACCUCUGUCAUUUCCAGAUCAGCUCUGGACAGCUACCUCUGAAUUCAUUUAUGUGAGAGGAAGGUAAACUGUUGUUAAAGCCAGUGGUAUUCAGGUCUCUGUUAUCACUAGCAAAGUGCAAUUCUUCCUUCUAAACCCAGUUCAUCAUGAAACUUUUCAAACAGCAAAGCUGAGCAUACUGUUUCAUCUCCAGCUCCCAUGCUCACCGGGACUGCACCACUGGUGUUUACUCACCUACUCCACAUCUCCACGUGAAUCUCUAAGGGAUCCCUCAACCUUGACACAGCCAUAACUGAAUGCUUAUUCUCUCUUGCUCCUUGUCUCUCCAUCUUUCCAAUUCAGAAAUGGAUAACCUCAUCCUUCUGGUUUCUCAAGACUACAACCUGGAGUCACCUGGCUCCACUCUAUUCACACCCAAGGCCACGUCCACCAGCAAAGCCUUCAACUCUGCCUUUAAAUUAUUAACCUAGCACCAGAAACUCUCACCUGUCCCACAGCUCCGCCCCUCGCUGAUCAUCACCUCACUGUGGGGUUCCCGCUGGUCUUCAGGUUUCUGCCUGCCCUCCUCUAAGAUAGCCCAGGCCCAGCCAAGCAUCUGAAACAAUUUCUGAGUCAGCAGUCAGAGCCCGACCCUUCUCUGCUGGACACUCCAGUGACUGCCCUCCAGAGGCCACCAAGGUCUGUGCAUGUGAUCUGCCCCCAAGACUCUGACAGGCCACCUCCUUGCUCCGGGGCACUUCCUGUCUGCAGCCUCAGCAGGCUCUUUGUACCUCUGCACCACCUGGGAGCCCCUGCCUCUGGGCUUUGUUGCUGCUGGUCUCUAUGUGGGGUGAUUUUUACCCCCAGAAAUUGUUAUGGUUUGCUCCCCUACUUCACCAUCCUGUUUUAAAUUCCAACUUUGAUGUCCCUUACCCUGGUUUAUUUAUCUCUCAAGUGCUGGUCAUCACCAUAUACCUUGCCACUGUAAUGCCAGAUUCGUGGGACCCCAAUAGACCUCCAGGAGCCGAAUCUGAUGCAAUCACAAAAGAGUCUUCAUUGCAAGCUCCAGCCUGGACUCACAACCGUUCCUUUCCCGAUGCAGCGGUCCCAGGGAGUGAGUCCUGGUCCUUUGUUAAGUGAGAUUUUAUAGAUUUUUGGGGAUACUCUAUGUGUCACAACAUCAUACAGCAAAUCAUUCCACACCACGGGAAAGUCAAACAACAACUCUUAACAUUGA